AGACCCGAAACCCGGUGAUCUAGCCAUGGGCAGGUUGAAGGUUGGGUAACACUAACUGGAGGACCGAACCGACUAAUGUUGAAAAAUUAGCGGAUGACCUGUGGCUGGGGGUGAAAGGCCAAUCAAACCGGGAGAUAGCUGGUUCUCCCCGAAAGCUAUUUAGGUAGCGCCUCGUGAAUUCAUCUCCGGGGGUAGAGCACUGUUUCGGCUAGGGGGCCAUCCCGGCUUACCAACCCGAUGCAAACUGCGAAUACCGGAGAAUGUUAUCACGGGAGACACACGGCGGGUGCUAACGUCCGUCGUGAAGAGGGAAACAACCCAGACCGCCAGCUAAGGUCCCAAAGUCAUGGUUAAGUGGGAAACGAUGUGGGAAGGCCCAGACAGCCAGGAUGUUGGCUUAGAAGCAGCCAUCAUUUAAAGAAAGCGUAAUAGCUCACUGGUCGAGUCGGCCUGCGCGGAAGAUGUAACGGGGCUAAACCAUGCACCGAAGCUGCGGCAGCGACACUGUGUGUUGUUGGGUAGGGGAGCGUUCUGUAAGCCUGUGAAGGUGUGUCGUGAGGCAUGCUGGAGGUAUCAGAAGUGCGAAUGCUGACAUAAGUAACGAUAAAGCGGGUGAAAAGCCCGCUCGCCGGAAGACCAAGGGUUCCUGUCCAACGUUAAUCGGGGCAGGGUGAGUCGACCCCUAAGGCGAGGCCGAAAGGCGUAGUCGAUGGGAAACGGGUUAAUAUUCCCGUACUUGGUGUUACUGCGAAGGGGGGACGGAGAAGGCUAUGUUGGCCGGGCGACGGUUGUCCCGGUUUAAGCGUGUAGGUGUGUGUUCCAGGUAAAUCCGGUUCACUUUAACACUGAGGCGUGACGACGAGGCACUACGGUGCUGAAGCAACAAAUGCCCUGCUUCCAGGAAAAGCCUCUAAGCAUCAGGUAACAUCAAAUCGUACCCCAAACCGACACAGGUGGUCAGGUAGAGAAUACCAAGGCGCUUGAGAGAACUCGGGUGAAGGAACUAGGCAAAAUGGUGCCGUAACUUCGGGAGAAGGCACGCUGACACGUAGGUGAAGUGAUUUACUCAUGGAGCUGAAGUCAGUCGAAGAUACCAGCUGGCUGCAACUGUUUAUUAAAAACACAGCACUGUGCAAACACGAAAGUGGACGUAUACGGUGUGACGCCUGCCCGGUGCCGGAAGGUUAAUUGAUGGGGUCAGCGCAAGCGAAGCUCCUGAUCGAAGCCCCGGUAAACGGCGGCCGUAACUAUAACGGUCCUAAGGUAGCGAAAUUCCUUGUCGGGUAAGUUCCGACCUGCACGAAUGGCGUAAUGAUGGCCAGGCUGUCUCCACCCGAGACUCAGUGAAAUUGAACUCGCUGUGAAGAUGCAGUGUACCCGCGGCAAGACGGAAAGACCCCGUGAACCUUUACUAUAGCUUGACACUGAACAUUGAGCCUUGAUGUGUAGGAUAGGUGGGAGGCUUUGAAGCGUGGACGCCAGUCUGCGUGGAGCCG
Molecule: ribosomal RNA, 1496 nt
Filed under: Salmonella enterica
Lineage: Bacteria; Pseudomonadati; Pseudomonadota; Gammaproteobacteria; Enterobacterales; Enterobacteriaceae
Also listed under: 2 other names
Description: partial 23S ribosomal RNA
Rfam family: Bacterial large subunit ribosomal RNA
Source: RNAcentral